RNAcentral lists this ribosomal RNA (253 nucleotides) under uncultured bacterium. RNAcentral's name for it is "partial 16S ribosomal RNA". It matches the Rfam family "Bacterial small subunit ribosomal RNA", at positions 524 to 776 of the family's 1533-position model. The record is from RNAcentral.
UACGGGGGGGGUAAGCGUUGUUCGGAAUUACUGGGCGUAAAGGGCUCGUAGGCAGCCAACUAAGUCAGACGUGAAAUCCCUCAGCUUAACUGGGGAACUGCGUCUGAUACUGGAUGGCUUGGAUUCGGGAGAGGAAUGCGGAAUUCCAGGUGUAGCGGUGAAAUGCGUAGAUAUCUGGAGGAACACCGGUGGCGAAGGCGGCAUUCUGGACCGAUAUUGACGCUGAGGAGCGAAAGCCAGGGGAGCAAACGGG